GUUUUUUAUUUUUAUCUCUACCCUAUUUUUAAUACCAUUACUGCCUACUGUUGAUCACAGUUACUACUAUGUGUUACAUUGUUUAUGAUGUCAUCAUUGGAAUCUUGCAGGACCGAUCAGCCAUUUCCUCAUCAUGCACUUUAACAUACCUAUUGAUCUACUAUGUAUUAUGACCAAGCAAAUGUGCUGGUUACAUUGUUUAUCACAUGUUAUUUUGUCUAUCAUGUUAUUAUUGGAAAUUUACUAUGACUGAUCGAUCAUGUCUCCAUUAUGCAUUUUAACACAUUAUAUACAAUUUUUUAUCUUAUGUGCAAUAUAUCCCUAUAUGCCAAUAAUAAACAGUCUAAUUUAUUAUAUCUACUGAUUCGUUCUGCCCUAAUGCUUUGUUUCAUUUAAAGUCCCAACCUUCCCUUAGUCCCCAAUAGUCCCCUUUUUUUCCAUAUUACCGGGGAUGGAGGCUUGUGUGCCGGACGGCCACAGUCUCAUUUAAAGUCCCACCUUUUUGAUUUUUGUGUUUAGUAACCCUAAAAUCUAUGAUUCUCAACUGAAUAGGGAUGGAAACAUUACAUUUAUUUACUUUAAUAUCCCAUGCAUUAUUGGUUACCUACCCCCUAUGCCGCCUUGGAACAUGCCAUCCUCUCAUAGGAUUACCUACUACAUGUUUGUUGCGAGGCGUACUUUAUCUGGGGGUUGGGCAUUUGUCACCUCAGCAAUCGGGAGCUGCGAUGCGCACCGCGGCGUUCCCCCAGGCCCCCUCCGUCUACUGACCACGGGGUUGGGGGGACGCACUCGCUACGCAUCGACGUCACGCCCUCAGGCUCACACGCCCGGCAUCCUUCGUUGAUGCCACGUGAUGACGCAUUGAUUUUCUAUCAGCGCUUGCCAAUGGGGAGGAGCCGGGCGCCCGCAUAUAGGAGACUCUGCUUGUGUGCGGCAUUCGCUCCUCUCUCGCACGCUGGCGUGGCGUUCAGUGGGGUUAGACACUGGCAGGCACGGUCUUCCUUCUCUUCUAUCAUCCCUUCUGAUCACUUCCACUGUUCCCUACUUGUUUUCAUCUACCAUCAGGUAAUAGUCACUCCAAUCACGUUGGUGGCUUUUUUGCCACCACCUUGCAUGUUUUAUACUUCUCUCACCCUGGGUUCUUACUUGGUAUGUUUUUUUUUUUCACUUUUUCACUUCCUUUUCUUUGGUCUUUAUAAUUUAGCCAAGCUCAUUAUCCUGAUGCAUGGCCUUUUUACAUUGCUUUUACAGAAGCCUUUCGGGGCUCUUACUUGCUAUCGUAUCAUUGAACAAGAUAAUCACCACUUCAGCACUUUCUACACCUCGAGACUGGAUCUCGGUUGCCGCCAAUCUGUUCCCAUGUCAGCUCCCGCUGGGGUCACUCUCCUCUCCCCCUUGAUGCCUCUUAUCAACAUCAUUACUCUCUACCUUGUCAUAUAUUUUACCCCAGGUAUCCUUAGCUCCUAAUUGCUCCUGAUGAGUGGAAAAGUCCACGAAACGCGUCGAGCCUACCCCAUAGAUGAUAUGUCACCGUAAUCAUGGAUACAACCAUGGGCAUGUGAAUGUUCGAAUCAUGUACCCCUAUAUAUUACUUUUUUGGUUUUACUAUUUUUGGAUAUACUGCUGAUCACAGUACUUAUUAUGCUACAUUGUUUAUCAUUCUACCAUCUUAAUUUUUCAUGAUCAAUCAGUCAUGUCAUUACUACUUAUCUUAUACACAUUAUUGACCUACUAUGUAUACCCAAUUGCUGGCUACAUUGUUCAGUAUGUGUUACAUUGCCCAUCAUGUUAUCUUUACUACUCAUUCAUGACUGACUCCUCAUGUUUUUUAUUUUUAUCUCUACCCUAUUUUUAAUACCAUUACUGCCUACUGUUGAUCACAGUUACUACUAUGUGUUACAUUGUUUAUGAUGUCAUCAUUGGAAUCUUGCAGGACCGAUCAGCCAUUUCCUCAUCAUGCACUUUAACAUACCUAUUGAUCUACUAUGUAUUAUGACCAAGCAAAUGUGCUGGUUACAUUGUUUAUCACAUGUUAUUUUGUCUAUCAUGUUAUUAUUGGAAAUUUACUAUGACUGAUCGAUCAUGUCUCCAUUAUGCAUUUUAACACAUUAUAUACAAUUUUUUAUCUUAUGUGCAAUAUAUCCCUAUAUGCCAAUAAUAAACAGUCUAAUUUAUUAUAUCUA
Rana temporaria (common frog) is the source of this 2183-nucleotide long non-coding RNA. RefSeq lists it as uncharacterized. The record is from RefSeq and is a predicted model, not a curated record. The transcript has 2 exons. Lineage: Eukaryota; Metazoa; Chordata; Amphibia; Anura; Ranidae.